Molecule: long non-coding RNA, 485 nt
Filed under: Linum usitatissimum (flax)
Lineage: Eukaryota; Viridiplantae; Streptophyta; Magnoliopsida; Malpighiales; Linaceae
Description: long non-coding RNA (LUSI_LNC005936)
Source: RNAcentral
UAAAUAAUCACAACAAAAAACAAAUGGAUAAUAAACAAAUAAUAAAUAUACAUAAACUUAUAAUCAUUCCCAAACCUCCCCAUUUCAAACAUAAUAAUAACAUGAUUUCAUUUGUUAUAUGGCACUACGUGUCGGGUAUCGUAUACCUACAGCACACCGUUUCCCGUACUAAUAGUUGUAGAUUUUACAUUUUACCGGCGUACAUCCGGCAAAGUGUUUAGUGCUAUUAUAGUAUUAUUAUAAUGGACAGUCGGGAAAAGCUAACAGAUUCAAAUACGGACAACAUAUACGAUAAGAUCAUAUAAAGGCAGGACAGCUAGUAGUUUACAUAAAGAAUCACAUUAGUACACACUUAAUCGUUUGCUCUGGUUCCUGUCUGAUUUUUGUCUAAGUUAUAUAUAUAUAUAUAUAUAGAUAGGACUAGUCUUCAACUUAAAUCAAUCAAACCAUAUGGUUGGGAGUAGUAGUGGCAGGACCACCAGGAG